UCUGACUGCAGACGCCGAAGAGCAAGUUCCAAAUUCUUGACAUACUGCAGAGCAUUCAAACCAUCUUCAGGGUGCUGUAGGAAGCAUAUAAAUAGAUCUACCAGUUGCUGAAAUUCCUCUUUUGUUUCAGCAGAGACUCCAAUCAACUGGCUCAAGUAGACCUGCUUCGAUCCGUGCCAGUCCUAUAAGAACAGAAAACAUGGGGGAUGAAUUUUAUUAUCCUUCUCUGGAAAGCGUGGUCCACACCUUUUGUGUCAUAGAUACUAGGGAACAUAAUAGAGUAAGUGCCUGUUUGUGUAAGCUUCAGGUGCUGUGUAAAAUUUGUCAGACACUGCGCCACAACUUGGAUACAGAGCCAUUUUUGUUGCCCCACUUGAGGGAACUAAUUAUCAGACACCUAACACUAUUGGAGAGGUUGUCCACUACCUCCAAAUUUCAGCGCAUACUCGACUACAUGAAGCUAUCCCUUGAGGCAAAUGAUUCAAACUUGUUACAAGACUUGGCCAUAGGCACUGUCAAUUUACUGGGCUGUCAAAGUCCAGAGAUUUUGUCUAUCCCAUAUGACAAAGAUCAGCCUGUACAUGAAUGGUGUGCAUGUUUCCUGACCUCUGUAGACGAGGAAGCCUUGAGAAAAAUAUCUUCUAUGUUGGACAAUAAACACUUUUCUUAUAUGUACAACUUUAAAACAUUCUUAAAGUAUUCACUAGAGUUAGAAACAGCUGCAGACUUUGAUUUAUCUACUGGACUCAAUGUCCUUGUGUAUUGGGUAAGCGUCUUUAAACUGUUCAGUGUUUGUGUCCAAAGUCAGUUUCUGCUGGACAGCCUUGUGGCAUUUAAUGCCCUUUUUAAAAAUCAUGUAAAAGAGUUAGAAGCGAUUGUGGAAUCUGACACAAACCUGCUCUGCUAUAGCACAUCUGUUGUGUGGGCAAAAUUGUCUAACUUAAACCAUCUGCUCCACAGACUUCAGACUAGUAACAACACUUUAGUUUUUGAUGAAAUACUGAUCUGUCUGCGUGGUUUACAAAUUUAUAUAAAAUGUUUACCUACCUUAUCGGCUGAAGGGGAAUCCGAGUCAGAGGCCAUCGCUGCAGAAAUUCCCUCGUAGUGCAGGAGUUGUAUUUUUGAGUGUAGAUUGAAAAGAGUUGUGCUCUCUCCUCAGCCUUUGAAGGGACAUUUCAUGACUCAUGUAGGAGGAGCUACCAGAUUUCCAUAAAAGUGGGAGGCUAUUAUUUCUUGCAGACUGCAGCACAUUGUGGGAUAAUGUGUUCAAAAAUGGACCUUGAAACCCGUGAAGGUGGUGGUUGCCAGCAGGUUUCAAUUCUCAUGGUCACAUCUGACAGAGAAAAGGAACAGUAUGAGAAAUUUAUGAACAUACUUAAGAAUCUUUCAAAUUGUACUGAUAUAUCUCAGGUCGUGGCAGAUGCUAAAAAAAUCUAUGAUUCCAGGGAAUUUUGUUAUGUGCCUGCCCUUCUCACUCUGUUCAAGAAGUUGCCUUCUGUUCAUAAAUGGCCUGAAAAUGAAAACUGUAAUGAGGUGCUAAGUGCUGCCUUCUUUGUGUGCCAGCUCUUAUUUUUUCAUAACUUCCCAGCCUCACCAGCUUUUACAGUGGAUGAAAUGUUUGCAACAGUGGCUGCUAGAUUGAAGGAUCUGAUAGAAUAUUCAUGUGACUGUGAGAACUGUGAAUUGUUGGCUGAAUCCCUGACAAAUUAUAAGUUUUCCCUGGUACCUAUAAAGAUCAGGCCACACACCGAUACCUGUGUCUCACUGAAAACACUCCAGCGGCUACGGACUGCCAUGUUAGGCAAUCCUGAAACCCUGAGUAUUUGGACCCUUGAUGACCUGGUGGAGGACCCAGUAGUCUUCAAAGGCUAUGAAAGCGCAAUUAGGAGAGAAUUUGCUGAGCAUGUCACAUGUUUGAACAUGUGCUGGGUUGUGAAGAUAAUCUUGGACUGCAUGUCUCAGCCAACAGCUCUGCUUCGGGAUUGUAUUCAGAAGGGUGCAAAGAAUAAUGGACUCCAGCUGGACACUUCGAGUACCUGGACGUGGCCAGCAGCACGUAUUGCUGAAAAGGAAGUCAUAGAACAUACCAUGAGUGUUUGUGUACAGGAUAUGACUAGAAGUCAUGAUCAGGAAUUCUACACAGAGGCCUUUAAGGAAGAUCUCCAUAUAGGAUUAAAGAGACUAGUUGCCAUGGUCCUUGGGCAGAAUCAUAGUUGGUUAGAUGGCUUUCUGACAGACACUAUAGUGACAGGUAAAGCAUAGCCUGGGGCAUAGUUCUUUGAUGAAUCAUCAUAAAUAUGAUGGCUAAUGUGGUCCUUUUGUGUAUUAAUGCAGAUAUGUUUAUGUAUCCAGGUGUGUUGCUUGAAAGGUAUUUUGCUGUACUAACCCAACACCACCUAUUUAUCAUGUUUGGAAGCCUAUUAAAAACUGUGCUAUUGACUCUGGCGUUUGUGUCUUUGUCUACUUGUGACUCAAAAAUUUUACCCAAGCAUUGUUGCCAUAUUUCUGCAACCCCUACUGAGAAAAAAUCCUGGAACUUCCUGUCCUCCAUAACUGAGAUAUAUCUUAGUAGUCCAUCUUCGUGUGGGAAUAUCAAUGUGGCCCAGGUGAAAGUGAAAACCAAGACAGGAUACCACUUAGAAUGUGCAAAUGGUUUUGGACUCAUGGGCUUUCUUGAAGCCGUGGUCAGCAGGUUUAGAGACCCCACCCCCGAUGACGUUGAGUUCCUUAAACAACUUAAAUUGUUGCACGAUCAGUUUGAUGAGGUAUUUUCAGCAAGCACUGCCAACAGCUCCUCCUUUAAGGUCGCCGCCUGGUAACCAUGGACACUUGGCUAAAAACGCAUGUGUGGUCCCUGAAUGUUAUGCAGAGAGACUCAGUAAUGGAUUUUCUACCUCAAUCCUGGAUAGACUACUUACAACUCUCCGCGUUUUCAUCCAAGAAGCUUGAGCAGAUUAUGGCUGCAGUAGAAAACAGAAGAAAACAAAAUAUUGUCUAUCCUGAUAGUGAGGAUGUGAUGCGCUGGGCAUUUUCCUGCCCUCCUGAAAAUGUUAGGGUUGUUAUUCUGGGACAGGAUCCCUAUCAUGGGGGCCAGGCCAAUGGUUUGGCCUUUAGUGUUCAUGAAAACUUUCCAGUCCCACCGAGCUUACACAACAUUUUCCAAGAACUUAAAAGGUCAGUGCCUGAUUUUCAAAUUCCCCCUUCUGGCUGUCUUGAUAAGUGGGCAGAACAGGGAGUUCUUCUGCUUAACUGCAUCCUGACUGUAGAUAAGGGACGGCCUGGUUCUCACCACAAACUUGGAUGGGGAUGGUUCACAGACUAUGUCAUUUCUACAAUCUCUGAAAAGAAUGAUAAGUGUGUUUUUAUGCUGUGGGGAAACAAGGCAAUAGAAAAGGAAGUUCUGAUCAAUGGCAGUAAGCAUCUUGUAUUAAAGGCGCAACAUCCUUCCCCCCUGGCAUCUCUUGGUGGCUACUCAUCAAAACAGGCCCCGUUUUUGGGCUGUAACCACUUUUCAAUUGCCAACACAUAUUUAACGCAGCACAACAAACCCUCAAUUUCUUGGAACUUAUAAUGGACCCCUUUAAGAAACCAGUGAGAAUGUUGCCCAUAAAGGGGGCCCCGAUCUCUCGACCAAUAAGUGUUUUUACAUUUGACGUGUUUAACCCCCCGGACGAUUCCGAUGGGUCAUCAACUCCAGACUCAGUGUUUGAGGCGGAGACCAGCCCAGCAAGAACUCCUCCAACUCCCGCCUUGAUUCUACCCUAUGAUUAUGUGAGCAGUGAAGACUCUGAUGAUGAAGCACAAGAACAUGCGGAUAACCGGGACACUAAUGACCAGGUCAGCGAGUCAAGUACAAGUGAGGACUCUGAUUCAGAGUCUGAAAGUUCAUGUGACGAUACCCAGCAGACUUUCGUGGACGAUGAGUCCACCAGCUCUUCUGGCGAGGAAGACAGAGAUGAUCCUUUUGAGUCAAAUGACCAGGGCGCGCAGGGCGGGUCGACCUCUGAGUCUGAGGAUGACCUCCCUGCAAUACUGAGGGCUGCACGCGAGACACAAAGUGACAGCUCUAGUGACAGUUCCGGCAACUCCCAUAAAAAAAGGCGAGUGCAGGAAGAAGAAAGUAGUCGCAUCUUGAAAACCCCAGCCCCCAUUUCUGGUAAUGGAAAAUAUAACUGGCCAUGGUUGGAUUGAAACUUUAUUCAAUAAAAAUUAAUAUACAAGUA
Molecule: non-coding RNA, 4223 nt
Filed under: synthetic construct
Source: RNAcentral